RNAcentral lists this ribosomal RNA (1243 nucleotides) under Philonthus lomatus. RNAcentral's name for it is "16S ribosomal RNA". Lineage: Eukaryota; Metazoa; Arthropoda; Insecta; Coleoptera; Staphylinidae. The record is from RNAcentral.
AAUUUAAUUAAUUAUUAAUUUAUAUAAAUAAAGUAUUAUUAUAUUUUAUUAUUGUUAAAGAAAAAAAAAUAUUUAUUAUAGUUAAUUAGUAUAGUGAUAGAAUUUUUAAAAUUUGAAAAUUUAAAUAUAUAGAAGAAGUUUUUUUAUGUACCUUGUGUAUCAGGGUUUAUUAAAUAAAUAUUAAUUAUUUAAUUUUCUCGAUUUUGAAAGAGCUAAAAAUUUAUUUAUUUUAUUGUAGAAUAAAUAUUUUAAAUUGGUUUUUAGAAAUGAAACGUUAUUCGUUUUCAAAUAUAUCUAGUUUUUGAAGAAAAAAAUUUAAUUUUAAUUUAUAAUUUAUUUAUUUAUUUUUAUUAAAAAUUGAUUAAUUAUAAAUUUAUAUUUUAAGGGAUAAGCUUUAAAAUAAAUUAUUAAAAUUUAAUUAUUUAUAUAAAAUUGUAGGAUUAGAAGUUUUCAUCAUUUAAUAUGUUAUAAUUAAUUUAUUAUAUAAUAUAAUUUAUUAUUGUUUAAUUUAUUUAUUCAAAUUAAUUAAUUAAUUUAUUUAUAAUUGUAAUAAUGAUAAAAUUAGUAUAAUUGAAUUUGUAAAUUUAAAUUUAUUUUAAAGGUUAAAUAAAGGAAUUCGGCAAAUUAUUUUUCGCCUGUUUAUUAAAAACAUGUCUUUUUGAUAAUAAUUUAAAGUCUAACCUGCCCACUGAAUUUUUAAUGGCCGCGGUAUUUUGACCGUGCAAAGGUAGCAUAAUAAUUAGUUUUUUAAUUAAAAGCUGGAAUGAAUGGUUGAACGAGAAAAUAACUGUCUCUAUUUAAAUUAUUUAGAAUUUUAUUUUUAAGUUAAAAAGCUUAAAUGAGUUUAAAAGACGAGAAGACCCUAUAGAGUUUAAUAAAAUUAUUAUUUAAAAAUUUUUUGAAUUAUUUAUUUUUUAGUAUAAAUUUUAUUUAGUUGGGGUGAUUGAAAAAUUUAUAAAACUUUUUUUUUAUUUAAACAUUAAUUUAUGAAUUAUUGAUCCAUAAAAAUGAUUAAAAGAUUAAAUUACCUUAGGGAUAACAGCGUAAUUUCUUUAAAGAGUUGGAUUAAAAUUAAUUUUUGGUGUAGAAGCUAAAAAAUUAGGUCUGUUCGACCUUUAAAAUUUUACAUGAUCUGAGUUUAAACCGGUGUGAGCCAGGUUGGUUUCUAUCUUUAAAUAAUAAUAAUAUUUUAGUACGAAAGGACCAAAUAUUAAUUAUAUUAAUUAAUUAAGAAUAAUAUUAA